GAUGAAGAACGUAGCGAAAUGCGAUAAGUAGUGUGAAUUGCAGAAUUCAGUGAAUCAUCGAAUCUUUGAACGCACAUUGCGCCCCUUGGUAUCCCGAGGGGCAUGCCUGUUCGAGCGUCAUUUCACCACUCAAGCCUGGCUUGGUGUUGGGCGACGUCCCCUUUGGGGACGCGCCUCGAAACGCUCGGCGGCGUGGCACCGGCUUAAGCGUAGCAGAAUCUUUCGCUUUGGAAGUCGGGGCCCCGUCUGCCGGAAGACCUACUCGCAAGGUUGACCUCGGAUCAGGCAGGGAUACCCGCUGAACUUAAGCAUAUCAAUAAGCGGAGGA
RNAcentral lists this unclassified non-coding RNA (328 nucleotides) under soil metagenome. RNAcentral's name for it is "partial contains 5.8S ribosomal RNA, internal transcribed spacer 2, and large subunit ribosomal RNA". The stretch from base 1 to 120 matches the Rfam family "5.8S ribosomal RNA", at positions 35 to 154 of the family's 154-position model. The record is from RNAcentral.